Molecule: non-coding RNA, 856 nt
Organism: Anolis sagrei ordinatus
Lineage: Eukaryota; Metazoa; Chordata; Lepidosauria; Squamata; Anolidae
Source: RefSeq, a predicted model, not a curated record
UUCCUGGAGGAUGGACUGGUUGGAUCUUCUCGCAGUCCAAGGCACUCUCAGAACUUCCCUCCAGCACCACAGUUCAAAAGCAUCUAUCUUCCUUCGCUCAGCCUUCCCUAUGGUCCAGCUCUCACAUCCGUAGCGACAUAAAAAGGAGAAGGUUGCAUGUCUCCCUAGACUUCGUAUUCAGAAAACAUACAGCAGAAGAGAGGCAGCUCUUUUAGGAGGGAUGAACCUGCAUCUGCAACUCAUGUUCCUCAGCCUGCUGUGUCUUUAUGCACAGGCUCAGGCACUUAAAAACCCCAAACAAUAUGAGGAGUGGAAGGCACUGGACCAGCCAAAGAACAGAGAUCUGUUUCUUCGUGCCCUGCAGUCAUAUCUCAGCACUAAAGGCAUCAACGUGGGGAGAACUGCUCCAGUGUUUGUCUGGGUCUCAAUGAAUCACAGCAACAUCAGGAUGGAUGAGGCACAGGAAGAGCAAGAUUUGGUGGUCCAGGAGCCGGAAGCAAAUGAAUGAAUAGACAAGAACAACAGGUGUCUUGCUGAUGAUGACCACCUUCGUUUUGCUGCUUUGGUGUUGCACUGUGGCUUUAAAAAAGAAAGAAUUGUUAAUGAUUUCAUAUCCCUUCACCCAUCCUAAGCAAGUUCUUCGUAAACCCAGUUCAUUUAAGAGCCCAUGUGAUAUAAUGGUUACAGUGCCAAACCAGGAUCAUGAGAGACCCUACAAUAAGUUCCAACUCGGUGUGAACCUUGUUGCUGUACCUUGGACAAAUCACUAUCUUUCAGACUAUCCUACUUCACAAGUGUUAAAAUUCAAAGACAUAAUUGUGUUGUUUGGCAUUGGUAUGCAAAGGGAUAAUGAAAC